CCAGACUCCUACGGGAGGCAGCAGUAGGGAAUCUUUCACAAUGGGCGAAAGCCUGAUGGAGCAAUGCCGCGUGCAGGACGAAGGCCUUCGGGUUGUAAACUGCUUUUAUAAGCGAGAAAUAUGAUGGUAACUUAUGAAUAAGGAUCGGCUAACUACGUGCCAGCAGCCGCGGUCAUACGUAGGAUCCGAGCAUUAUCCGGAGUGACUGGGUGUAAAGAGUUGCGUAGGUGGCAAGAUAAGUAGAUAGUGAAAUCUGGUGGCUCAACCAUUCAGACUAUUAUCUAAACUAUCUAGCUCGAGACUGUUAUGGGUAACUGGAAUUUCUAGUGUAGGAGUGAAAUCCGUAGAUAUUAGAAGGAACACCGAUAGCGUAGGCAGGUUACUGGGACAGUUCUGACACUAAGGCACGAAAGCGUAGGGAGCAAACGGGAUUAGAUACCCCGGUAGUCUACGCCGUAAACGAUGGAUACUAGCAGUUUUGGGUAUCGACCCCCGGAGUUGCGAAGCUAACGCGUUAAGUAUCCCACCUGUGUAGUACGAUCGCAAGAUUAAAACAUAAAGGAAUUGACGGGGGCCCGCACAAG
Molecule: ribosomal RNA, 584 nt
Filed under: uncultured bacterium
Lineage: Bacteria
Description: bacterial SSU rRNA
Rfam family: Bacterial small subunit ribosomal RNA
Source: RNAcentral